UGUCGCGUCUGCUGUGAAAACCUAAGGCUCAACCUUGGGCUUGCAGUGGGUACGGGCAGACUAGAGUGCGGUAGGGGUGAC
Molecule: ribosomal RNA, 81 nt
Filed under: 'Chlorochromatium aggregatum' nonphotosynthetic symbiont
Lineage: Bacteria
Description: partial 16S ribosomal RNA
Source: RNAcentral